AUGAUCGAUCUCCGGCGGUCUUCUCCGUCUCUCCGUGGCGGCGCGGCGCCUAUGUACAAGUCAGCGCGCUGGCUUCAGAGCUCACUGGAAGCCGCCCAGGCCGUUGAGCAGCAGCUCGUGCGGGCGCAGCAGGGUCGGGGUGGCCGCCAGCGGCAGCGGGGACGGGUAGGACAUGUCGUAGUCGGAGGCGUCCGGGAGGUCGGCCCAGAGCGCGUCGCCGGGCAUGAGCGGGGCGCGGCAGAGCGGGCAGGUGCGCUGCCCGUGGCCCAUCCAGCGGUCGAUGCAGCCGCGGUGGAAGACGUGGCGGCAGUUGGGCAGCCGCCGCACCUCGUGGCAGCCGCCGAUGCCGCAGAGGCAGACGGCGCAGUCGCCGUCGCCGCACACGGACGGGGAGGACGCCAGCAGCUCGUCGAACCGCAGCACGGGGAGCGCCUCCUCGACGGCGGCCAUCGGCGGCAGCGCGCGGAAGUCGGGCCGCCGGUGCUGCAGCGAGGGCGAGGGCGAGGGCGCCGGUCGGUGGUGCGCGUGCCACUGCGCCUCCUCCGCCGUGGGCACGGGCGCGCUGCCGCCGAGGUCGAUGAGGUCGCCCAGGCCGACGGCGUGGAAGGCCCAGAGGAGGAGGCGGUGGAGGUGGCCGAGGAGGAGGAGCGCCUGCAGGAGCAGCCGGGGGAGCAGCAGCUCCGAGUACCCCACGGGGAAGCCCAUGGCGUCGAUCUUGGCUGGCUCGGGGCGUGCGAGGCGUGCGCGCGUGUCGCGGAGCAGGGCGGAGGCAGGCGAGUCGGGAGAGGCCGGGUGACACACUCACACAGUGGCAGUGGGGCUCUUAUAUAA
This 831-nucleotide ribosomal RNA is filed under the name Triticum aestivum (bread wheat). RNAcentral describes it as "partial small subunit ribosomal RNA". Lineage: Eukaryota; Viridiplantae; Streptophyta; Magnoliopsida; Poales; Poaceae. The record is from RNAcentral.